Molecule: ribosomal RNA, 305 nt
Filed under: uncultured bacterium
Lineage: Bacteria
Description: bacterial SSU rRNA
Rfam family: Bacterial small subunit ribosomal RNA
Source: RNAcentral
UCUCCUACGGGAGGCAGCAGUGGGGAAUAUUGCACAAUGGGGGGAACCCUGAUGCAGCGACGCCGCGUGAAGGAAGAAGUAUCUCGGUAUGUAAACUUCUAUCAGCAGGGAAGAAAGAGGACGGUACCUGACUAAGAAGCCCCGGCUAACUACGUGCCAGCAGCCGCGGUAAUACGUAGGGGGCGAGCGUUAUCCGGAUUUAUUGGGUUUAAAGGGUGCGCAGGCGGCCUGUUAAGUCAGCGGUAAAAGCCCGGGGCUCAACCCCGGCGAGCCGUUGAAACUGGCGGGCUGGAGUUGGAGAGAAG